RNAcentral lists this ribosomal RNA (253 nucleotides) under uncultured bacterium. RNAcentral's name for it is "partial 16S ribosomal RNA". It matches the Rfam family "Bacterial small subunit ribosomal RNA", at positions 524 to 776 of the family's 1533-position model. The record is from RNAcentral.
UACGAAGGUGGCUAGCGUUGUUCGGAAUCACUGGGCGUAAAGCGCACGCAGGCGGAUCGAUAAGCCGGGGGUGAAAGCCCGGGGCUCAACCUCGGAAUUGCCUUCGAUACUGUCGGUCUCGAGUCCGGGAGAGGUGAGUGGAAUUCCUAGUGUAGAGGUGAAAUUCGUAGAUAUUAGGAAGAACACAAGUGGCGAAGGCGGCUCACUGGCCCGGUACUGACGCUCAGGUGCGAAAGCGUGGGGAGCAAACAGG